RNAcentral lists this ribosomal RNA (791 nucleotides) under Arthrobacter pascens. RNAcentral's name for it is "bacterial SSU rRNA". It matches the Rfam family "Bacterial small subunit ribosomal RNA", at positions 73 to 874 of the family's 1533-position model. Lineage: Bacteria; Bacillati; Actinomycetota; Actinomycetes; Micrococcales; Micrococcaceae. The record is from RNAcentral.
CCCCAGCUUGCUGGGGGGAUUAGUGGCGAACGGGUGAGUAACACGUGUAGUAACCUGCCCUUAACUCUGGGAUAAGCCUGGGAAACUGGGUCUAAUACCGGAUAUGACUGAUCAUCGCAUGGUGGUUGGUGGAAAGCUUUUUGUGGUUUUGGAUGGACUCGCGGCCUAUCAGCUUGUUGGUGAGGUAAUGGCUUACCAAGGCGACGACGGGUAGCCGGCCUGAGAGGGUGACCGGCCACACUGGGACUGAGACACGGCCCAGACUCCUACGGGAGGCAGCAGUGGGGAAUAUUGCACAAUGGGCGCAAGCCUGAUGCAGCGACGCCGCGUGAGGGAUGACGGCCUUCGGGUUGUAAACCUCUUUCAGUAGGGAAGAAGCGAAAGUGACGGUACCUGCAGAAGAAGCGCCGGCUAACUACGUGCCAGCAGCCGCGGUAAUACGUAGGGCGCAAGCGUUAUCCGGAAUUAUUGGGCGUAAAGAGCUCGUAGGCGGUUUGUCGCGUCUGCCGUGAAAGUCCGGGGCUCAACUCCGGAUCUGCGGUGGGUACGGGCAGACUAGAGUGAUGUAGGGGAGACUGGAAUUCCUGGUGUAGCGGUGAAAUGCGCAGAUAUCAGGAGGAACACCGAUGGCGAAGGCAGGUCUCUGGGCAUUAACUGACGCUGAGGAGCGAAAGCAUGGGGAGCGAACAGGAUUAGAUACCCUGGUAGUCCAUGCCGUAAACGUUGGGCACUAGGUGUGGGGGACAUUCCACGUUUUCCGCGCCGUAGCUAACGCAUUAAGUGCCCCGCCU